GGGCCUAACCAUGCAAGUCGAGCGAUGAAGCUUUCUUCGGAAAGUGGAUUAGCGGCGGACGGGUGAGUAACACGUGGGCAACCUACCUCAGAAUGGGGGAUAGCCUCUCGAAAGGGAGAUUAAUACCGCAUAUAAUCAGAGUAUCGCAUGGUACUUUGAUGAAAGGAGUAAUCCGAUCUGAGAUGGGCCCGCGGCGCAUUAGCUAGUUGGUGAGGUAACGGCUCACCAAGGCAACGAUGCGUAGCCGACCUGAGAGGGUGAUCGGCCACAUUGGAACUGAGACACGGUCCAGACUCCUACGGGAGGCAGCAGUGGGGAAUAUUGCACAAUGGGGGAAACCCUGAUGCAGCAACGCCGCGUGAGUGAUGACGGUCUUCGGAUUGUAAAGCUCUGUCUUUUGGGACGAUAAUGACGGUACCAAAGGAGGAAGCCACGGCUAACUACGUGCCAGCAGCCGCGGUAAUACGUAGGUGGCAAGCGUUGUCCGGAUUUACUGGGCGUAAAGGGUGCGUAGGUG
Molecule: ribosomal RNA, 517 nt
Filed under: uncultured bacterium
Lineage: Bacteria
Description: bacterial SSU rRNA
Rfam family: Bacterial small subunit ribosomal RNA
Source: RNAcentral